GCUCAAGGGGUGGUACUUUGUGACUAGCACUGAAGGGGAUCCUGAUCUAGACCCCGUCAGCUUUGUGCUGGAAGGAAGCAACGACAAGCGGAACU
This 95-nucleotide non-coding RNA is filed under the name Hemiselmis andersenii. The record is from RNAcentral. Lineage: Eukaryota; Cryptophyceae; Cryptomonadales; Hemiselmidaceae.